UAACCUGCGGAAGGAUCAUUACUGAGUGCGGGCUGCCUCCGGGCGCCCAACCUCCCACCCGUGAAUACCUAACACUGUUGCUUCGGCGGGGAACCCCCUCGGGGGCGAGCCGCCGGGGACUACUGAACUUCAUGCCUGAGAGUGAUGCAGUCUGAGUCUGAAUAUAAAAUCAGUCAAAACUUUCAACAAUGGAUCUCUUGGUUCCGGCAUCGAUGAAGAACGCAGCGAACUGCGAUAAGUAAUGUGAAUUGCAGAAUUCAGUGAAUCAUCGAGUCUUUGAACGCACAUUGCGCCCCCUGGCAUUCCGGGGGGCAUGCCUGUCCGAGCGUCAUUGCUGCCCAUCAAGCCCGGCUUGUGUGUUGGGUCGUCGUCCCCCCCGGGGGACGGGCCCGAAAGGCAGCGGCGGCACCGUGUCCGGUCCUCGAGCGUAUGGGGCUUUGUCACCCGCUCGACUAGGGCCGGCCGGGCGCCAGCCGACGUCUCCAACCAUUUUCUUCAGGUUGACCUC
This 508-nucleotide ribosomal RNA is filed under the name Aspergillus sp. 12b. Its description in RNAcentral is "partial 18S ribosomal RNA". The stretch from base 178 to 331 matches the Rfam family "5.8S ribosomal RNA". Lineage: Eukaryota; Fungi; Ascomycota; Eurotiomycetes; Eurotiales; Aspergillaceae. The record is from RNAcentral.